This 722-nucleotide ribosomal RNA is filed under the name bacterium MS-AsIII-20. RNAcentral describes it as "bacterial SSU rRNA". It matches the Rfam family "Bacterial small subunit ribosomal RNA", at positions 98 to 810 of the family's 1533-position model. The record is from RNAcentral.
GCGGACGGGUGAGUAACACGUGGGCAACCUGCCUGUAAGACUGGGAUAACUUCGGGAAACGAAGCUAAUACCGGAUAGGAUCUUCUCCUUCAUGGGAGAUGAUUGAAAGAUGGUUUCGGCUAUCACUUACAGAUGGGCCCGCGGUGCAUUAGCUAGUUGGUGAGGUAACGGCUCACCAAGCAACGAUGCAUAGCCGACCUGAGAGGGUGAUCGGCCACACUGGGACUGAGACACGGCCCAGACUCCUACGGGAGGCAGCAGUAGGGAAUCUUCCGCAAUGGACGAAAGUCUGACGGAGCAACGCCGCGUGAGUGAUGAGGCUUUCGGGUCGUAAAACUCUGUUGUUAGGGAAGAACAAGUACAAGAGUAACUGCUUGUACCUUGACGGUACCUAACCAGAAAGCCACGGCUAACUACGUGCCAGCAGCCGCGGUAAUACGUAGGUGGCAAGCGUUAUCCGGAAUUAUUGGGCGUAAAGCGCGCGCAGGCGGUUUCUUAAGUCUGAUGUGAAAGCCCACGGCUCAACCGUGGAGGGUCAUUGGAAACUGGGGAACUUGAGUGCAGAAGAGAAAAGCGGAAUUCCACGUGUAGCGGUGAAAUGCGUAGAGAUGUGGAGGAACACCAGUGGCGAAGGCGGCUUUUUGGUCUGUAACUGACGCUGAGGCGCGAAAGCGUGGGGAGCAAACAGGAUUAGAUACCUGGUAGUCCACGCCGUAAACGAU